GACGAACGCUGGCGGCGUGCUUAACACAUGCAAGUCGAACGGAAAGGCCCUGCUUUUGUGGGGUGCUCGAGUGGCGAACGGGUGAGUAACACGUGAGUAACCUGCCCUUGACUUUGGGAUAACUUCAGGAAACUGGGGCUAAUACCGGAUAGGAGCUCCUGCUGCAUGGUGGGGGUUGGAAAGUUUCGGCGGUUGGGGAUGGACUCGCGGCUUAUCAGCUUGUUGGUGGGGUAGUGGCUUACCAAGGCUUUGACGGGUAGCCGGCCUGAGAGGGUGGCCGGGGACAAUGGGACUGAGAGAGGGAGCAGAGGCGAAUGGGAGGCAGCAGGGGGGAGCAUUGUACAGCGGGCGGGAGUGGGAUGAAGAAACGCCGGGGGUGGGAUGACGGUUUUCGGGUUGUAAACAGCAUUAGCCUGUGACGAAGCGGGAGUGACGGUAAUGGGUAAAGAAGCACCGGCUAACUACGUG
Molecule: ribosomal RNA, 468 nt
Filed under: uncultured bacterium
Lineage: Bacteria
Description: partial 16S ribosomal RNA
Rfam family: Bacterial small subunit ribosomal RNA
Source: RNAcentral